This 497-nucleotide ribosomal RNA is filed under the name uncultured bacterium. RNAcentral describes it as "partial 16S ribosomal RNA". It matches the Rfam family "Bacterial small subunit ribosomal RNA", at positions 28 to 507 of the family's 1533-position model. The record is from RNAcentral.
GACGAACGCUGGCGGCGUGCCUAAUACAUGCAAGUUGAGCGCUGAAGGUUGGUACUUGUACCAACUGGAUGAGCAGCGAACGGGUGAGUAACGCGUGGGGAAUCUGCCUUUGAGCGGGGGACAACAGUUGGAAACGAAUGCUAAUACCGCAUAAAAACUUUAAACACAAGUUUUAAGUUUGAAAGAUGCAAUUGCAUCACUCAAAGAUGAUCCCGCGUUGUAUUAGCUAGUUGGUGAGGUAAAGGCUCACCAAGGCGAUGAUACAUAGCCGACCUGAGAGGGUGAUCGGCCAAAUUGGGAAUGGGACACGGCCCCAAAUCCUACGGGAGGCAGCAGUAGGGAAUCUUCGGCAAUGGACGAAAGUCUGACCGAGCAACGCCGCGUGAGUGAAGAAGGUUUUCGGAUCGUAAAACUCUGUUGGUAGAGAAGAAAGUUGGUGAGAGUGGAAAGCUCAUCAAGUGACGGUAACUACCCAGAAAGGGACGGCUAACUACGUG